Astyanax mexicanus (Mexican tetra) is the source of this 439-nucleotide long non-coding RNA. RefSeq lists it as uncharacterized. The record is from RefSeq and is a predicted model, not a curated record. NCBI's taxonomy places the organism in Eukaryota, Metazoa, Chordata, Actinopteri, Characiformes, Acestrorhamphidae. The transcript is spliced from 6 exons.
CGCUCGUUUAUCUUCUGCGGGACUCGCUCCAGCAGACCCACCGGGAUAUACCUACAACACACAGCGUGAGGUACAGCGUGAGGUAAAGAGAGUGAGGUACAGCGUGAGGUACAGUGUGAGGUAUAGUGUGAGGUAAAGAGAGUGAGGUACAGCGUGAGGUACAGUGUGAGGUACAGCGUGAGGUAUAGAGUGAGGUACAGUGUGAGGCAUAGAGUGAGGUACAGUGUGAGGUACAGCGUGAGGUAUAGAGUGAGGUACAGUGUGAGGUACAGCGUGAGGUAUAGUGUGAGGUACAGUGUGAGGUACAGCGUGAGGUAUAGAGUGAGGUACAGUGUGAGGUAUAGUGUGAAGUACAGUGUGAGGUACAGCGUGAGGUAUAGAGUGAGGUAUAGUGUGAGGUACAGCGUGAGGUACAGCGUGAGGUACAGUGUGAGGUGUA